Long non-coding RNA from Austrofundulus limnaeus, 436 nucleotides. RefSeq lists it as uncharacterized. The record is from RefSeq and is a predicted model, not a curated record. NCBI's taxonomy places the organism in Eukaryota, Metazoa, Chordata, Actinopteri, Cyprinodontiformes, Rivulidae. The transcript is spliced from 2 exons.
AUGUUCAGGUUUAUAUUAACUUCCUGUUCGCUGUGAUGACGUUUACUCCAGCCAUUCGUAGUUUCCACCAGAGGUCUUCAGACCGAUGAGGGUUCAACCUUCCUUGGAUGUCUGAGCGAACUGUGUCCAUGUCUAACUGUAGGAUUUAAGAAAACUAGUUUCUUACCUUUUAUUUGUCUUUGCAGGGAAAAUGUCUAAAGCUGCAGGACCUUCAGUUCUGGUGAUGAAGACCCAUAAAUCUGGUGAAACGUGUCUGCUCUGAAGCUGCAGGACCUUCAGUUCUGGUGAUGACCCAUAAAUCUGGUGCGUAUGUUCAGGUUUAUAUUAACUUCCUGUUCGCUGUGAUGACGUUUACUCCAGCCAUUCGUAGUUUCCACCAGAGGUCUUCAGACCGAUGAGGGUCCAACCUUCCUUGGAUGUCUGAGCGAACUCAGUU